RNAcentral lists this ribosomal RNA (523 nucleotides) under uncultured bacterium. RNAcentral describes it as "bacterial SSU rRNA". It matches the Rfam family "Bacterial small subunit ribosomal RNA", at positions 25 to 518 of the family's 1533-position model. The record is from RNAcentral.
CAGGACGAACGGCCUGGCGGCGUGCCUAAUACAUGCAAGUCGAACGGCUUUUCUAUGGAAGCUUGCUUCCACUGAGAAGAUAGUGGCGAACGGGUGAGUAACACGUGGGUAACCCUGCCCAUAAGAGGGGGAUAACAUCCGGAAACGGGUGCUAAUACCGCAUAGUUUUCUUGAUCGCAUGAUUGAGAAAGGAAAGACGGCCUUUGUGCUGUCGCUUAUGGAUGGACCCGCGGCGUAUUAGUUAGUUGGUGAGGUAACGGCUCACCAAGACGAUGAUACGUAGCCGACCUGAGAGGGUGAUCGGCCACAUUGGGACUGAGACACGGCCCAAACUCCUACGGGAGGCAGCAGUAGGGAAUCUUCCGCAAUGGACGAAAGUCUGACGGAGCAACGCCGCGUGAGUGAAGAAAGGUUUUCGGAUCGUAAAACUCUGUUGUCAGAGAAGAACAAGUUGGAGAGUAACUGCUCCAGCCUUGACGGUAUCUGACCAGAAAGCCACGGCUAACUACGUGCCAGCCGCCGC